RNAcentral lists this ribosomal RNA (253 nucleotides) under uncultured bacterium. RNAcentral's name for it is "partial 16S ribosomal RNA". It matches the Rfam family "Bacterial small subunit ribosomal RNA", at positions 524 to 776 of the family's 1533-position model. The record is from RNAcentral.
GACAGAGGUGGCUAGCGUUGUUCGGUAUCACUGGGCUUAAAGCGUGUGUAGGCGGGAACGUAAGCAUUUUGUGAAAUCCCCCGGCUCAACCGGGGAAUUGCUUGAUGGACUGCGUUUCUUGAGGCAAGUAGGGGUGCGAGGAACUCUUGGUGGAGCGGUGGAAUGCGUAGAUAUCAAGAGGAACGCCGAUGGUGAAGACAUCGCACUAGGCUUGUCCUGACGCUGAGACACGAAAGCGUGGGGAGCGAACGGG